CGGGGUGAGUAAUGUCUGGGAAACUGCCUGAUGGAGGGGGAUAACUACUGGAAACGGUAGCUAAUACCGCAUAACGUCGCAAGACCAAAGAGGGGGACCUUCGGGCCUCUUGCCAUCGGAUGUGCCCAGAUGGGAUUAGCUAGUAGGUGGGGUAACGGCUCACCUAGGCGAUGAUCCCUAGCUGGUCUGAGAGGAUGACCAGCCACACUGGAACUGAGACACGGUCCAG
RNAcentral lists this ribosomal RNA (229 nucleotides) under uncultured bacterium. RNAcentral's name for it is "partial 16S ribosomal RNA". It matches the Rfam family "Bacterial small subunit ribosomal RNA", at positions 104 to 334 of the family's 1533-position model. The record is from RNAcentral.